This is a small nucleolar RNA of Tachyglossus aculeatus (Australian echidna), 138 nucleotides long. Lineage: Eukaryota; Metazoa; Chordata; Mammalia; Monotremata; Tachyglossidae. The record is from RefSeq and is a predicted model, not a curated record.
UGCCUCUCAGGGUGGCACCUGGAGAGUUUCCAGUCCUCUACCAGUCUCGACUGCAGGAGGGAGAGUGAAGCCGAGGCCCACCCAUUCCAUUCCUAGCUUGGCCAGUGGCUAGUGAGUGGAAAACAGUCUGCUACAAGU